UAAUGAAGUACCUAGAAUUCUCUGCUUGAGAGCUCUAGUGUAAUUCCUCUAACCUAAGUACUAAGAGCUCUCUGGAAGAUAAUUUUGUGUACUGCAGUAA
This is a microRNA precursor of Anolis carolinensis (green anole), 100 nucleotides long. Lineage: Eukaryota; Metazoa; Chordata; Lepidosauria; Squamata; Anolidae. The record is from Ensembl.